AUUGAACGCUGGCGGCAGGCCUAACACAUGCAAGUCGAACGAGUGGCGGACGGGUGAGUAAUGUCUGGGAAACUGCCUGAUGGAGGGGGAUAACUACUGGAAACAGUAGCUAAUACCGCAUACCAUCAGAUGUGCCCAGAUGGGAUUAGCUUGUUGGUGGGGUAACGGCUCACCAAGGCGACGAUCCCUAGCUGGUCUGAGAGGAUGACCAGCCACACUGGAACUGAGACACGGGCCAGACUCCUACGGGAGGCAGCAGUGGGGAAUAUUGCACAAGGGGCGCAAGCCUGAUACAGCCAUGCCGCGUGUAUGAAGAAGGCCUUCGGGUUGUAAAGUACUUUCAGCGGGGAGGCGUUACCCGCAGAAGAAGCACCGGCUAACUCCGUGCCAGCAGCCGCGGUAAUUC
This 406-nucleotide ribosomal RNA is filed under the name uncultured bacterium. Its description in RNAcentral is "partial 16S ribosomal RNA". It matches the Rfam family "Bacterial small subunit ribosomal RNA", at positions 30 to 526 of the family's 1533-position model. The record is from RNAcentral.